This 128-nucleotide ribosomal RNA is filed under the name uncultured bacterium. Its description in RNAcentral is "partial 16S ribosomal RNA". It matches the Rfam family "Bacterial small subunit ribosomal RNA", at positions 917 to 1045 of the family's 1533-position model. The record is from RNAcentral.
GGACCCGCACAAGCAGUGGAGCAUGUGGUUUAAUUCGAUGCAACGCGAAGAACCUUACCCAGGCUUGACAUGCAGUAGACAGUACUAGAAAUAGUAUCUUCCUUCGGGACUGCUGCACAGGUGCUGCA